RNAcentral lists this ribosomal RNA (254 nucleotides) under uncultured bacterium. RNAcentral describes it as "partial 16S ribosomal RNA". It matches the Rfam family "Bacterial small subunit ribosomal RNA", at positions 524 to 776 of the family's 1533-position model. The record is from RNAcentral.
UACGUAGGGUGCGAGCGUUGUCCGGAAUUAUUGGGCGUAAAGAGCUCGUAGGCGGUCUGUCGCGUCGAUCGUGAAAACUUGGGGCUUAACCCUGAGCUUGCGGUCGAUACGGGCAUGACUGGAGUUCGGCAGGGGAGACUGGAAUUCCUGGUGUAGCGGUGAAAUGCGCAGAUAUCAGGAGGAACACCAGCGGCGAAGGCGGCGCUCUGGGCCGGUACUGGCGCUGAGGAGCGAAAGCGUGGGGAGCAAACAGG